CAAUUACAUGUAUCAUUUUUGACAUUCACUUGACAUACUUGAUAAACCAAUUCAACAUGUCCUGAUGAGCCUCUUCUGCAUUCUUAACUGCAACUUCAUCUUCAACACUGUAUCUCAAUGUCCAUCCAUGACUAACACCAGGGUACAACUUCACAAUGCUUUCUAACUGUCAUAGCAUACAUAACUUGAAGUCUUAAGUUUUGAAAGGAAAUUUCAUUAAGAUAAUCAACAAACAAUUCUUCCAUAGUUUCUCUCACCUUUGCUUUUGCAGACAAUAAUUCUUCAGUUUUCUUCAACCUUUCUUGUGGGAAAAUAGUAUCAAUUUCAGCUCCCAAUAAAGCAAUAGGGACUUUCACAUCUGAAGAAAAACAAAAUAAAGUUUGUGGAUGCUAGAAAAGUACAAGCUUCAACACACAAUAUUUGAUAACGAAAUUCAGUUAAGUGUGCCUACGGGGCUAUGGCUAAAAAGGUACAAUACCUUUCUAUUAUUUUAAGCUUAGAGUUUACGGUAUGCAACUUGUAUUUUAAUACUACGAUCGAGCUAUUGAUAACUAUAAGUAAAUAAACAAUAGUGGAUAACUGCUAUAAUAAUUUAUUUAAC
RNAcentral lists this long non-coding RNA (601 nucleotides) under Medicago truncatula (barrel medic). RNAcentral's name for it is "lncRNA gene8110". Lineage: Eukaryota; Viridiplantae; Streptophyta; Magnoliopsida; Fabales; Fabaceae. The record is from RNAcentral.